AACAGAAGAUAACAGGCAACUUGCACAGUGAGUGAAUUUGAGUGGGUACAAUAUAACAUAAGCCAAAUUCUAAAAAGUAGAAUAACAACCCACUCAAAUCCAAAUUCUUCUCAUGGUACACAAUCAGAGGAAAACAGAAGAUUACAGGCAACUUGCACAGUGAGUGAAUUAUACACAUCACUCCGACAGUUAGAAACAACUUGCAUGUUAUGGUAGGUUGGCAAACCAGCACCCUGGAUCUGGACCACUAUACUGCUGCUCUACAUUCAGUCACCGUUAGACCUGCAGGAACAGACAACCGAUCUAUUAUGAAGCUGAUCCAAUGAACUGUAUAAAACAUUGUUCAAAGCAAACUUUUAAGAGCAAGAAGCACAUAGAAAGUGGGAAUACGACAAAAUCUUCUGAGAUGGUCCACCUAUUUAUCUUUAGCAAAUCAUAUGGGCCUAUUGGGACUGAUUUAGAUGCGGAAAUAUCAUUUAACCACAUCAUCAAGUGACAUGUUAGGCUCUAGCAAUGGUUAUUGUGAUAGGCAGUAACUCUACAAAAACCAAGUACAACCCACCCAUGUGUGUCUUUUAUGGAUAUAUACAUGACUAUGAACAUAUGCGUAAAGUACUAUGAAUGCAUAUGUAUGCACAAGGCAGGGCUUUACCGUGUGACCCAGCUUCUUGUUCUUCAAAGGAAAAAAAGACUCUUCUAAAGCCAUGUAAUGGUGUAACCAACAAGUGUUCUUUUUUUUUUUAAUGACUACCGCACAAGCUCACUGACCCUGAGCCGAGCACUUAGCUUGCCACUAGAGUCAUUUAGGUACAGUAUACACCCUUAAUACGUGACUCGAAAAAAAAAGAAAGUGAUUACAAAGCAAAUAUGUAUCAACCAGGAACUAAAUGGUGAACAAAGAAACAUUUGCACUAGUGUUGAAUUUGUAAAAGUGCCUACUUGUCCUUUCCACUACUUCAGCAACAUCCAAUUCAGUCUUUUGGCUAUGCAAUUCCAUUCGUCACC
This 1005-nucleotide long non-coding RNA is filed under the name Panicum hallii. Its description in RNAcentral is "long non-coding RNA (PHAL_LNC000226)". Lineage: Eukaryota; Viridiplantae; Streptophyta; Magnoliopsida; Poales; Poaceae. The record is from RNAcentral.